RNAcentral lists this ribosomal RNA (753 nucleotides) under uncultured Halomonadaceae bacterium. RNAcentral's name for it is "bacterial SSU rRNA". It matches the Rfam family "Bacterial small subunit ribosomal RNA", at positions 577 to 1330 of the family's 1533-position model. Lineage: Bacteria; Pseudomonadati; Pseudomonadota; Gammaproteobacteria; Oceanospirillales; Halomonadaceae. The record is from RNAcentral.
GGCUUGAUAAGCCGGUUGUGAAAGCCCCGGGCUCAACCUGGGAACGGCAUCCGGAACUGUCAGGCUAGAGUGCAGGAGAGGAAGGUAGAAUUCCCGGUGUAGCGGUGAAAUGCGUAGAGAUCGGGAGGAAUACCAGUGGCGAAGGCGGCCUUCUGGACUGACACUGACACUGAGGUGCGAAAGCGUGGGUAGCAAACAGGAUUAGAUACCCUGGUAGUCCACGCCGUAAACGAUGUCGACUAGCCGUUGGGCUCCUUGAGGGCCUUGUGGCGGAGUUAACGCAUUAAGUCGACCGCCUGGGGAGUACGGCCGCAAGGUUAAAACUCAAAUGAAUUGACGGGGGCCCGCACAAGCGGUGGAGCAUGUGGUUUAAUUCGAUGCAACGCGAAGAACCUUACCUACCCUUGACAUCCUGCGAAUCGGGUAGAGAUACCUGAGUGCCUUCGGGAGCGCAGAGACAGGUGCUGCAUGGCUGUCGUCAGCUCGUGUUGUGAAAUGUUGGGUUAAGUCCCGUAACGAGCGCAACCCUUGUCCUUAUUUGCCAGCGAUUCGGUCGGGAACUCUAAGGAGACUGCCGGUGACAAACCGGAGGAAGGUGGGGACGACGUCAAGUCAUCAUGGCCCUUACGGGUAGGGCUACACACGUGCUACAAUGGCCGGUACAAAGGGCGGCGAGCUCGCGAGAGUCAGCAAAUCCCUUAAAGCCGGUCUCAGUCCGGAUCGGAGUCUGCAACUCGACUCCGUGAAGUCGGA